RNAcentral lists this ribosomal RNA (503 nucleotides) under uncultured bacterium. RNAcentral's name for it is "partial 16S ribosomal RNA". It matches the Rfam family "Bacterial small subunit ribosomal RNA", at positions 29 to 507 of the family's 1533-position model. The record is from RNAcentral.
AACGAACGCUGGCGGCGUGCCUAACACAUGCAAGUCGAACGAGAAAGGGGCUUCGGCUCCGAGUAAAGUGGCGCACGGGUGAGUAACACGUGGGUAACCUGCCUCUAAGAUUGGGAUAACUCGUCGAAAGAUGAGCUAAUACCGAAUAAGACCACAGUUCCCGCGGGAACAGGGGUCAAAGGUAGCCUCUGCUUGCAAGCUAUCACUUAGAGAUGGGCCUGCGCACCAUUAGCUAGUUGGUAGGGUAACGGCCUACCAAGGCAAAGAUGGUUAGCUGGUCUGAGAGGAUGAUCAGCCACACUGGAACUGAGACACGGUCCAGACUCCUACGGGAGGCAGCAGGGGGGAAUAUUGCGCAAUGGGCGAAAGCUUGACGCAGCAACGCCGCGUGAGGGAUGAAGGCCUUCGGGUCGUAAAGCUCUGUCGGGAGGAACGAAUGCUCCUGAGGUUAACAGCCUCGGGAGGUGACGGUACCUUCAAAGGAAGCACCGGCUAACUCUGUG